ACAAAUCCAAUACUUGUGGGGGACUACCAAGUCUUUCUGCAAAUAUUAAUCCGCCGGCUCUAGUAGCUGGCUGUGAUAAUAAUAUAAAUGCGUGUAAUGUUGACAGUGUGUGUGAUUAAUUUUAAUUUAUUGA
This 133-nucleotide unclassified non-coding RNA is filed under the name uncultured Rozellomycota. RNAcentral's name for it is "uncultured Cryptomycota sequence contains ITS1". The record is from RNAcentral. Lineage: Eukaryota; Fungi; Rozellomycota.